Molecule: ribosomal RNA, 1452 nt
Filed under: Lactiplantibacillus plantarum
Lineage: Bacteria; Bacillati; Bacillota; Bacilli; Lactobacillales; Lactobacillaceae
Description: Lactobacillus plantarum 16S ribosomal RNA
Rfam family: Bacterial small subunit ribosomal RNA
Source: RNAcentral
CUAAUACAUGCAAGUCGAACGAACUCUGGUAUUGAUUGGUGCUUGCAUCAUGAUUUACAUUUGAGUGAGUGGCGAACUGGUGAGUAACACGUGGGAAACCUGCCCAGAAGCGGGGGAUAACACCUGGAAACAGAUGCUAAUACCGCAUAACAACUUGGACCGCAUGGUCCGAGUUUGAAAGAUGGCUUCGGCUAUCACUUUUGGAUGGUCCCGCGGCGUAUUAGCUAGAUGGUGGGGUAACGGCUCACCAUGGCAAUGAUACGUAGCCGACCUGAGAGGGUAAUCGGCCACAUUGGGACUGAGACACGGCCCAAACUCCUACGGGAGGCAGCAGUAGGGAAUCUUCCACAAUGGACGAAAGUCUGAUGGAGCAACGCCGCGUGAGUGAAGAAGGGUUUCGGCUCGUAAAACUCUGUUGUUAAAGAAGAACAUAUCUGAGAGUAACUGUUCAGGUAUUGACGGUAUUUAACCAGAAAGCCACGGCUAACUACGUGCCAGCAGCCGCGGUAAUACGUAGGUGGCAAGCGUUGUCCGGAUUUAUUGGGCGUAAAGCGAGCGCAGGCGGUUUUUUAAGUCUGAUGUGAAAGCCUUCGGCUCAACCGAAGAAGUGCAUCGGAAACUGGGAAACUUGAGUGCAGAAGAGGACAGUGGAACUCCAUGUGUAGCGGUGAAAUGCGUAGAUAUAUGGAAGAACACCAGUGGCGAAGGCGGCUGUCUGGUCUGUAACUGACGCUGAGGCUCGAAAGUAUGGGUAGCAAACAGGAUUAGAUACCCUGGUAGUCCAUACCGUAAACGAUGAAUGCUAAGUGUUGGAGGGUUUCCGCCCUUCAGUGCUGCAGCUAACGCAUUAAGCAUUCCGCCUGGGGAGUACGGCCGCAAGGCUGAAACUCAAAGGAAUUGACGGGGGCCCGCACAAGCGGUGGAGCAUGUGGUUUAAUUCGAAGCUACGCGAAGAACCUUACCAGGUCUUGACAUACUAUGCAAAUCUAAGAGAUUAGACGUUCCCUUCGGGGACAUGGAUACAGGUGGUGCAUGGUUGUCGUCAGCUCGUGUCGUGAGAUGUUGGGUUAAGUCCCGCAACGAGCGCAACCCUUAUUAUCAGUUGCCAGCAUUAAGUUGGGCACUCUGGUGAGACUGCCGGUGACAAACCGGAGGAAGGUGGGGAUGACGUCAAAUCAUCAUGCCCCUUAUGACCUGGGCUACACACGUGCUACAAUGGAUGGUACAACGAGUUGCGAACUCGCGAGAGUAAGCUAAUCUCUUAAAGCCAUUCUCAGUUCGGAUUGUAGGCUGCAACUCGCCUACAUGAAGUCGGAAUCGCUAGUAAUCGCGGAUCAGCAUGCCGCGGUGAAUACGUUCCCGGGCCUUGUACACACCGCCCGUCACACCAUGAGAGUUUGUAACACCCAAAGUCGGUGGGGUAACCUUUUAGGAACCAGCCGCCUAAGGUGG